Molecule: ribosomal RNA, 447 nt
Filed under: uncultured bacterium
Lineage: Bacteria
Description: bacterial SSU rRNA
Rfam family: Bacterial small subunit ribosomal RNA
Source: RNAcentral
GCCAGACUCCUACGGGAGGCAGCAGUGGGGGAUAUUGCACAAUGGGGGGAACCCUGAUGCAGCGACGCCGCGUGGGUGAAGGAGCGUUUCGGCGCGUAAAGCCCUAUCGGCAGGGAAGAAGGAGGACGGUACCUGACUAAGAAGCCCCGGCUAACUACGUGCCAGCAGCCGCGGUAAUACGUAGGGGGCAAGCGUUAUCCGGAUUUACUGGGUGUAAAGGGGGCGCAGACGGCAGCGCAAGCCAGGAGUGAAAGCCCGGGGCCCAACCCCGGGACUGCUCUUGGAACUGCGCGGCUGGAGUGCAGGAGGGGCAGGCGGAAUUCCUAGUGUAGCGGUGAAAUGCGUAGAUAUUAGGAGGAACACCAGUGGCGAAGGCGGCCUGCUGGACGACAACUGACGGUGAGGCGCGAAAGCGUGGGGAGCAAACAGGAUUAGAUACCCUCGUAC